GUAUGGAGCAAGCGUUAUCCGGAUUUACUGGGUGUAAAGGGUGCGUAGGUGGCAGUGCAAGUCAGAUGUGAAAGGCCGGGGCUCAACCCCGGAGCUGCAUUUGAAACUGCUCGGCUAGAGUACAGGAGAGGCAGGCGGAAUUCCUAGUGUAGCGGUGAAAUGCGUAGAUAUUAGGAGGAACACCAGUGGCGAAGGCGGCCUGCUGGACUGUUACUGACACUGAGGCACGAAAGCGUGGGGAGCAAACAGGAUUAGAUACCCUGGUAGUCCACGCCGUAAACGAUGAUUACUCGACGUGUGCGAUAAACGGUACGCGUCUGAGCGAAAGCAUUAAGUAAUCCACCUGGGAAGU
This 352-nucleotide ribosomal RNA is filed under the name uncultured bacterium. RNAcentral's name for it is "bacterial SSU rRNA". It matches the Rfam family "Bacterial small subunit ribosomal RNA", at positions 527 to 881 of the family's 1533-position model. The record is from RNAcentral.